UUUAAAGUAGGAAAAGAUCAUAUUUUCGCAACCCACUUAUUUUAGCUCAUACAAUUAUCAACUAGGCCCAAAAAGGAAAACAUUUGAGACAGUCCACCAAUAAACCCCAAAUCAGCCCAAAGCCUAAAUCACUCUCAGGCCGUUUUACUCUUCAGUUAAGCAAAAUAGGGAAACAAAUUAGGGUUCAAACUUUUCAUCUCUAUGCUCAGCCGCAUACACCCCUACCCUCUCCAUCUCUCAUUUCCAGCAAACUUUGACCUUUAUCAUGUCGUGAACAGACCUUGUCCACCCCUUUUCAAGCAAAAAUCGCCCUUUUUCUGCUUCCGUUUGGCAAUUUUCUCGUCUCACGCUCCAAAUCACAUAAAAUAUCUCCAAAGACCAUAGCAUAUUCCACCAUUUCGGGAAACUCUGAAUAGAUCACGUGAUGGUCCGCAAGUUCGUCCAAAAUCUGCCAACGUUCACUUUGAAAAGAUUUUUUGGACUGGAUUUCGAAAAACGGUCUCAAAUCUCGUCCAAGCUUGAACCCUAGGAUUUUCGCCUAUAAAUACUACCUUUAACUCCAGCCGAAACCAAGUUGGAAAACCAUCAAAAAAUCUCUCUAUAGAAUUUCAGUUUGAAUCCUAGAAAGCAUUGCUGUAAUAAUAAAUUUACUUAACCGACAUAAAUCAAGUAUAUACGCUCAUGUGUUUAGUAUCCUUUUUUUUCUCUAUAGAAAUGGUGUUGUAUGGAUGUUUCCAUCUGUUGUGACCCAUUCAUAUGUCUGAAUGUUGUUGUAGAAAACAUGAUUCUAGGAAUUAAUCUUCUAUCCAUAUAUUAUAGAAAUCAUGUCCAAUUAAAUAUAUUGCUCCUACGUGCUGCCCAUUUAAGCUCUUGAUAAGUUCAAAUAUUAAUAAAAACAUCCAUGAAAAUGAGUUUAUUUAUUUUAGAUGUCAAUUUCCAUUUUGGACAGAAUAUUUAUUUAUGAAUAUGUGUGUCUGAGCUUUAGAAUUCUUAUUAGGAAUGACUACUUUUACUUAACAUGUUGAUGCCCUGUAUUGUUAAAUCAUAAGGGAGGUUCUGAUUUUGGCCAUUCAUGCUUUAAAAUACUACAAGUCUAUUUUCCAUGUUUAAAGUCAUGAUAUAGGAUUUUUUUAAUUUUUUUUUUGGUGUUAACUUGAUGUUUUCCUAAUAUGUAUGUAUCAGCUCUAAGCUUCUGUGUGGAGCUACUCUUUGUUUUUUAAAUAUUAAAGGACAUGGGCUAUAGAUUAUCGUUAUCUUUUCACUAUGAAGAAAUUGCCUCAAUUAAAGGUUAAGUUAUCGUUUGCAUGCUAAAAUAUUUGAGGCAAAACUCUUUAUGGCUAUAUGUAUCGUCUACGUGCUUAAGUCAUGGAGUUUUGUUAUCACAAGUAUUUAAUAUAAGGACAAUUUGUUUAAUGGCUGUGGAGUAAGCUGCUAAUAUCACCUAUAGAAUAUGAUUUGUCUCAUGUUAUAAGAUUUACAUAAGUGUUCUUAAACUCCAGUUCAUGUGUUGGUCCUUUCAAGUUAUUUCUUUUUCAUUCCUUUUGGUAUUGAUAAUGGCAGACACUUUCUUACCAAUUCAUGUUUUUUGUUCCUUAUUUGCCAACAAUGGAGACGAAGAGUCUCGAUUUGAGACUCGACGUUGUUGUUAAACUCGGAAGCUACAUCUACUCUUCAUUCGUUCCCCUCGCUCUCUCUUGAAAUAUUUCUGAAUAGAGACUAAAUGGGAGAUGAGGAGACAUGGCUUAUAUCCUGUCGUGGCUCUCUUUCAUUUUAUUGUUAUAAAUAUUAUGUUGGUUUUGAUGCUGUCUGUUUCUAGCUUUAAUUCAUUUUAAUGAUACUUAUGUAAUCUUUACUUGACUGAAAUUAGGCUAAUCUAGCUAAGUCCGAGGCCCUUUUUCAGUUUUAGGUAAAUCUAGUUUUGAAAUAGCAGGUCAUUGAUAACUUUGGUGAAAUUUUUUAUAAAAAAAAGGAAAACAAAAAUCAGUUUUCCAUGGAAAUGUUUGGCAACCAGACUUUACAAAGCAAUGCAGGUUUGGUUUUAGUCAUAAAAAUGGAAAAUCAUUUUGAAAUGGUUAAGUUCACUAUUGUCAAAAUUUUAGUCCAAAAUAACGUCACUAUGCUCUUUCUUUCUUGAUAUUUAAUCACUGCCAUAAGUUAGACAUUAAUAUGCUCAUUUAUAUCAACUCUUACAUCCAGUUUAGUUUUAUUUUAAUAAAUUUAAGUUCGGACGGUUAACCGUUUUAAUACGGAUCUUAAAGGGUGCUUAACACCUUCCCUUUAGAUUAAUUGAACUCUUACCUAGAAUCUUAGGUUAGUAGACUUUAAACGGAGUUAAUAUUAAGUGAUUGAUAGGUGUCCUAAUUCACCUCUAAAUUAAUUAGGUGGCGACUCCUUAAAUUAGUUAAUUAAUUUAGGAAUCUCCAAUAUGUUUUACUCUAAUUUAAUCCGAUCAAAAUGGGGUAUAGAAGUUAGCUAAGAUGUAUAUUCGGAAUAUUGUGAGAUUACAUGGGGUUUCUAUUUCUGUUGUAUCUGAUCGGGGUACUAUCUUCACCUCCCGAUUUUGGAGGGCAUUUCACGAGCAGUUGGGUACCUUCGGAUCUUACUACAGCUUUCCAUCCCUAUAUCGAUGGCCAGUCCGGGCGGACCAUUCGGGUGCUCGAGGACAUGUUGAGAGCUUGUGUUAUUGAUUUCGGUGGUCAUUGGGAUCAGCAUUUUCCCUUGGUAGAGUUUGCGUACAAUAACAGUUAUCAUUUGAGUAUUGGCAUGGUGCCUUUUGAAGCCUUAUAUGGUAGGAGAUGUAGAUCUCCGAUUGGUUGGUUUGAUGGAUUUGAGGCUCGAGCUUAGUGUACGGAUCUAUUGAGAGAGUCCCUUGAUAGGGUGAGAGUUAUUUAGGCCAAGCUUUUGGCAUCUCAGAGUCGGAAAAAGAUGUAUGCGGACUGGAAGAUUCGGGAAUUAAAGUUUGCUAUUGGUGACUAGGCUCUAUUGAAGGUUUCACCCAUGAAAGGUGUUAUGAGGUUUGGUAAGAGGGGCAAGUUUAACCCCAGGUACAUUGGUCCGUUUGAGAUCGUGGAUUGUAUCGGUGAUGUAGCUAAUGAGUUAGCAUUGCUGCCAGGCUUGGCUAGAGUUCAUCCGGUCUUUCAUGUUUUGAUGCUAAAGAAGCACCAUACCGACGGUACCUUCAUUGUCCGUUGGGAUUCUAUAUUGCUUGAUGCGAAUUUGACUUAUGAGAAGGAGCCUAUCGCCAUCUUGGAUAGGCAGGUUCGGAAGUUGAGGUCAAAGGAAAUUGCUUCUGUGAAGGUGCAAUGGAAGCACCGUCCUGUGGAGGAGGCUACUUGGGAGACCGAGUCCGAUAUGCAUAGCCGAUAUCCUCAGUUAUUCACUGAUUCAAGUAUUUCCCUACAUUUCUUCGCUCGAGGACGAGCGAAGGUUCAAUUGGUAUCUGAUUUAACGACCACGUCAUAGUCUUUUCGAUAUUUUCGCCCGUUCCCGAGCAUUAAUUACCUCACUUUUGACCCGAGGGGACGGUUGACACGCUUUUCGAGGUGUCUAGAUCGGAUUCGGGCAUCUUUUGGGAAUUGUAGGCUUAAAGUGAAAAAUGGUUGACCCAAAGUUGACUUUUGGGCAAACGAACCUUUUCGGAAUUUCAUCGAUUCCGAGAGGUCCGAAUGGCUGUUUAGAACUUGUGUGUGUAUUUGGUUCGGUUCCCAAUGCACUCGAAUGCAUUUCGGGACUUGAGUUUGGAAAUUGGAACUAAGGCAUCAAGGGUUGACUCGGUCAACAAGACCUCCGUUGGGAAUUCUGAGGCCACGAGCACAUUCGUAGUGCAUUUUUAUGGAACUAGUCAAAAAAUCGAAUCGAAUUGCGGAAUUUGGAAAGUUUUCUGGUGUUUGGUGCCCGCUUUGGCGGCACCAGCACCGCGGUAGCGGCACCGCUGGGGCGGUAACCCUGACGCUGAAGUGGUCCAAGCAUUUUAGGCUUGACCGCUGAGCAGCAUCACUGGGGAUAUUUGGAGGAGAAUCUUAGAGACUACUUUGGUUCCGAGGUUCAGCGGAAGGGCAAGGCAAAUGAGUGAGUUGUUGGUGUUGCGGUUCGGCCAUCCAGGUAAGUUAUGGCUUACCCUUGGUGAGACUUCGUAUAGCGAAACACAUAUUUAGAUUAUAUUGUUGGAGACAGCAUGUGAACCUUUGGGUAUGAAGUUGGGUUGAAUAUUGCCUUAGGUUGGGCCCUGUUGUGUAUUGGGACUAGUCACCCCGUUGUGUUGUGCUUGACUGUUCUAUGGUGUUGACUUGAGGCCAUGAGUUGUUAGUAGAUAUUAGAUCCUGUUAUUCAUCUUGAUUUGGAUAUAUUAUUGGCAUGCCCACUGUGGUAUUUGUGGUUCGGAUACAUUGUUGGCAUACCCACUAUUGGAGUUGUGAUAUUGAUACAUUGUUGGCAUACCCACUAUUGGAAUUGUGAUAUUGAUAUAUUGUUGGCAUACCCACUGUUGGUAUUGUGAUAUGAUACAUUGUUGGUGUACCCCAUUGUUGGUACUUGUGAUAUUGAACUUGAUUGUUGAUGUCGACAAAUGCAUUGCACGCAUUUUCACUCAUUCAUGAUGCAUAGCUGAUCCCCGGUGAUGAUCCGGUAUCGUUGAUUGAGUAAACUGAUAUUUGACAAACUCUUUUACUUGAGUGAUUGUGAGAUGGCUGAUAUCGGAGGUUCAAUUCCGGAAUUGUUGAUUGUGUGAAACUGAUAUUUGACAACUCUUUUAUUUGAGUGAUUGUGAGAUGGCCGAUGGCCGAUGAUCUAUUACGGCAUCAUUGUUGCAAGGCCGAUUUCGAUGAUAUUCCAGAAUCGUUGUUCGUGCAUGGACUCUGCGGGUCCCCCAGGGUGGUGCAGAUGAGAACCCCCGUGGGAAAAGAUCCGGGUUCCCGUCUGUCUGUUAGGCAAAGAUUCGGGAUGGGUGGCACUUAGACUUCGUUAGUCACGCUGGGUUGUGCUACCGAGACGUCAAUAUUUCCGUUCGGAGUACAUGUGUACACCGCAUUUGCAUGGCAUUGCAUUGCACUCAUACCAUUACUGCAUUGCAUUAUGACUUUAUUGUGAUGGUUGGUGUUGUAUUGUGAUAUUGGAUUGGAUACCUUCAUACUUGGGACAAUUGGGAUUAGAUACUCUACGUAGGUGAUGACGGACUAUUGGAAUUGAUCGCAUUGUCUUAUACUUGUUAGUUUCCUUGCUUAUCUGUUUUAUUUUAUGAAUUGUGUUAACUAUGCUUAGUCGGCCGAUGAUGCCUACAAGUACUGUUGUUUGUACUGACCUGCACUUGUUGCAUUCUUUUAUGAAUGCAAAGUAUCAGGUCGGAUCCACUUCCGUGACCCGUGGCUGAUAGACGCAUUCGGCUUUCUCUCGAGUUUCCAGGGUGAGCAUGACCGUCCGCUGAUCUUUGUCCUAUUUAUUUCAGAGACAUAGACAUUUUAUGUAUUAGUAUUCCAUAUUGUAUUAUUUCCCCUUAAAUGCUCUUGUGUUAUUCAGACUAAACCCUGGGGGUGUAUAUUGUCUUCCACAUUUUCUACUACUUCAUGCUCUAUAUCCCCAAUUAUCAGUUCUAGCUUCACAUAAUUUAAAGUGACUUAUGGUUU
This is a long non-coding RNA of Lycium barbarum (goji berry), 5618 nucleotides long. RefSeq lists it as uncharacterized. Lineage: Eukaryota; Viridiplantae; Streptophyta; Magnoliopsida; Solanales; Solanaceae. The transcript is spliced from 2 exons. The record is from RefSeq and is a predicted model, not a curated record.